This 253-nucleotide ribosomal RNA is filed under the name uncultured bacterium. RNAcentral describes it as "partial 16S ribosomal RNA". It matches the Rfam family "Bacterial small subunit ribosomal RNA", at positions 524 to 776 of the family's 1533-position model. The record is from RNAcentral.
GACAGAGGCCUCAAGCGUUAGGCGGAAUCACUGGGCUUAAAGCGCGUGUAGGCGGAUCGUUAAGUGUGUUGUGAAAUCCCACGGCUCACCCGUGGAACUGCUGGGCAUACUGGCGAUCUUGGGCCAACUAGGGGCAACUGGAACAAGCGGUGGAGCGGUGAAAUGCGUAGAUAUCGCUUGGAACGCCGAAGGUGAAAACAGGUUGCUGGGGUUGUGCCGACGCUGAGACACGAAAGCCAGGGGAGCAAACGGG